UCGCCUACGGGGGGCAGCAGUGAGGAAUAUUGGUCAAUGGGCGGAAGCCUGAACCAGCCAAGUCGCGUGAGGGAAUAAGGCCCUACGGGUCGUAAACCUCUUUUGCCGGGGAGCAAGAGCCGGGACGCGUCCCGGCCCGGAGAGUACCCGGAGAAAAAGCAUCGGCUAACUCCGUGCCAGCAGCCGCGGUAAUACGGAGGAUGCGAGCGUUAUCCGGAUUUAUUGGGUUUAAAGGGAGCGUAGGUGGAUUGUUAAGUCAGUUGUGAAAGUUUGCGGCUCAACCGUAAAAUUGCAGUUGAAACUGG
This 305-nucleotide ribosomal RNA is filed under the name uncultured bacterium. RNAcentral's name for it is "bacterial SSU rRNA". It matches the Rfam family "Bacterial small subunit ribosomal RNA", at positions 335 to 636 of the family's 1533-position model. The record is from RNAcentral.